CGUGAUCCCGCCUAUCAACAUGAUUGGUUUCUCCCCUUCCUCGCGGAUACAACCAGGCUGCAUAUGCCCGUUGCCCGACUCCAAAAUGGCAGCCGCUCACUGCGCGCGCCCGAGCUGCUGGACCUCCUCGUUUCUCUUGCCUGCCCACCCCUCCCUCCGUUUCUUCUCUGGCCCUCACCUUUACGCCUCCCGAUUGGCUGGGAACAGUCCCGCCCUUCAAAAGCGGCCUUUGCCAUUGGCCGAAGCGCGCUGCCCCUCACAACGGCCCUCCCCCUCCUUCCCAUCCUCGCCCCCCGCCCCUCCCCCCCGCCCUCAGCCCCGGGAGGUAUUUUCCAUUCCGGUGGGGGUUGGGGGGGAGGGGAAAAGGCUGAGGAGGGAGUGGGGGGCCUUAGGAGAGGGGGAGGUGACCAGGGAAGAGGGGGGCAUCCGGUGGAGUCGGGGCCCCCAGGCUCCGUCAGGAGGAAGCGGGAAGGCGCCCUGGCGGUCACUGAAGUCGGGACGGGGCCGGCAGCCGGACUCGUCCGCACCCUGGCCGCGCCGCCCGGACCCGUCCUGCUGGGGCGCAGGUGCCCCUAGAGGAGGCCGCCCCGCGCCCCCGGGGCCCCCGCCGGUUCUGAAAAAUUUUUAGUAUGACUGUUCAGAAAACAUUAAUGAAAAUUUCAAGACGUACUUCUCCCCAGUGAGUACACUUUGGUUCUCUUAAACUCAUUCAGAAACUUGGGUUUAUAAUAGGCAUGAUUUCUAGAG
RNAcentral lists this long non-coding RNA (747 nucleotides) under Phascolarctos cinereus (koala). RNAcentral's name for it is "lncRNA (ENSPCIG00000026011.2)". Lineage: Eukaryota; Metazoa; Chordata; Mammalia; Diprotodontia; Phascolarctidae. The record is from RNAcentral.